UUAACCAAAGCCAAUACUAUUUGAGGCAAAUCAUUGUUAAUGAUAGAAAGAUUUUAACUCUGGUUAAU
Molecule: transfer RNA, 68 nt
Filed under: Geomydoecus aurei
Lineage: Eukaryota; Metazoa; Arthropoda; Insecta; Psocodea; Trichodectidae
Description: tRNA-Asn
Source: RNAcentral